This 71-nucleotide transfer RNA is filed under the name Metschnikowia torresii. RNAcentral describes it as "[Candida] torresii tRNA-Phe". It matches the Rfam family "tRNA". From Rfam's summary of the family: Transfer RNA (tRNA) molecules are approximately 80 nucleotides in length. Their secondary structure includes four short double-helical elements and three loops (D, anti-codon, and T loops). Lineage: Eukaryota; Fungi; Ascomycota; Pichiomycetes; Serinales; Metschnikowiaceae. RNAcentral also lists the same sequence under 1 other name. The record is from RNAcentral.
GCUUUUGUAGCUUAAUGGUAGAGCAUUCGCUUGAAGCGCGAUGUGUGUAAGUUCAAUUCUUUCCAAAGGCA